RNA transcript from Octodon degus (degu), 497 nucleotides. It is a transcript of the gene named ubiquitin-40S ribosomal protein S27a pseudogene, with no coding region annotated. NCBI's taxonomy places the organism in Eukaryota, Metazoa, Chordata, Mammalia, Rodentia, Octodontidae. The transcript has 2 exons. The record is from RefSeq and is a predicted model, not a curated record.
AUGGACUAUCUAAAAGAUUACAAAGAUAAGAAAGUUUUCGUGAAAACCCCUACAGGUAAGACCAUCAUAUUCAACGUUGAACCCUCAGACACUACAGAAAAUGUAAAGGCCAAGAUUGAGGAUAAGGAAGGAAUUCCUCCUGAUCAACAAAAGCUGAUCUUUGCUGGUAAGCAACUGGAAGAUGGACAUACUUUGUCUGACUACAAUAUCCAAAAGGAGUCUACCCUUCAUCUUGUAUUAAGACUCCGUGGUGGUGCUAAGAAAAGGAAGAAGUCUUACACCACUCCCAAGAAGAAUAAGCACAAGAGAAAGGUGACGUUGGCUGUCCUAAAAUACUACAAGGUGGAUGAAAAUGGCAAAAGUAGCCAUCUUCAUGAGAGUGCCCUUCAGAUGAAUGUGGUACUGGAGUUUCUAUGGCCAGCCCCCUUGACAGACAUCGUUGUGGCAAGUGUUGUCUGACUUACUGCUUCAACAAACCAGAAGACAAAGAAUUAUGA